CCUGCACUGGAUUUCGCUGAUGGAUGACGCUAAUGCAUUCUGAAACCAGAUAGCCCAAGAUUAGUGGAUGCUGACUCAUGGUGAUUGCAGGCUGUACGAAGUAUCUUGCGCGGCUAACAGUGGCUGAUCGGCCCAGUUCCUACUGUCCGUGUAGCAGAGAAUAGACCAAAACGAGGACAGGGGGGCCAGCAGAAGCAGCUCACCAGCUAGAUCGCGCCCACUCUGCGCCACGCGAGUAGGCUACAAUGCUCUCUCCUCGCCAGCAUCCUGGACGUUCAUCCCUAAUCAGGUGGUCCUCUCAGCCCAUGCAGAGGUACUGUCAUGCACGCAUUGGAGAGGAGUGCAUCCCGAGGAGAGCCCUCCC
RNAcentral lists this long non-coding RNA (364 nucleotides) under Spirodela polyrhiza (greater duckweed). RNAcentral's name for it is "long non-coding RNA (SPOL_LNC000362)". The record is from RNAcentral. Lineage: Eukaryota; Viridiplantae; Streptophyta; Magnoliopsida; Alismatales; Araceae.